This 495-nucleotide ribosomal RNA is filed under the name uncultured bacterium. RNAcentral's name for it is "partial 16S ribosomal RNA". It matches the Rfam family "Bacterial small subunit ribosomal RNA", at positions 28 to 507 of the family's 1533-position model. The record is from RNAcentral.
GACGAACGCUGGCGGCGUGCCUAAUACAUGCAAGUAGAACGCUGAAGGAGGAGCUUGCUUCUCUGGAUGAGUUGCGAACGGGUGAGUAACGCGUAGGUAACCUGCCUGGUAGCGGGGGAUAACUAUUGGAAACGAUAGCUAAUACCGCAUAAUAGUAGAUGUUGCAUGACAUUUGCUUAAAAGGUGCAAUUGCAUCACUACCAGAUGGACCUGCGUUGUAUUAGCUAGUUGGUGAGGUAACGGCUCACCAAGGCGACGAUACAUAGCCGACCUGGGAGGGGGGUCGGCCACACUGGGACUGAGACACGGCCCAGACUCCUACGGGAGGGAGCAGGAGGGAAUCUUCGGAAAUGGGCGGAAGGCUGAACGAGGAACGCCGCGUGAGUGAAGAAGGUUUUCGGAUCGUAAAGCUCUGUUGUAAGAGAAGAACGAGUGGGAGGGUGGAAAGUUCACACUGUGACGGUAUCUUAACAGAAAGAGACGGCUAACUACGUG